Molecule: ribosomal RNA, 1093 nt
Filed under: mouse gut metagenome
Description: bacterial LSU rRNA
Rfam family: Bacterial large subunit ribosomal RNA
Source: RNAcentral
AGGUUUCCUGAUCAACGCUAAUCGGAUCAGGGUCAGUCGGGUCCUAAGGCUCAGCCGAACGGCGAUGCCGAUGGCAGAAACGGUUAAUAUUCCGUUACUACCUUCAGGAGUGACGUGGAGACGCAGUAGUGACAGUGCCGCCAUCUGACGGAAUAGAUGGUUGAAGGGUGUAGGAGUCGAUCAUGGCAGGCAAAUCCACCAUGAGAUCCGAACCUGACAGUAUGCCGCGUCCUUCGGGACAAGGCAAUAGUGCGCGUAAGCAUGCUGCCGAGAAAAUCCGCUAAACUUAAUCCUGCAGGUACCCGUACCGCAAACGGACACACGUAGUCGGGUUGAAUAUACUAAGGCGCUUGAGUGAUUCACGGUUAAGGAACUAGGCAAACUGACCCUGUAACUUCGGGAUAAAGGGUCCCUACCCUUUUAUGGGAGGGCGCAGAGAAUCGGUCCAGGCAACUGUUUAACAAAAACACAGGGCUGUGCCAAAUCGAAAGAUCCAGUAUACAGCCUGACACCUGCCCGGUGCUGGAAGGUUAAGAGGAGAUGUCAUCGAUAAGAGAAGCGUUGAAUUGAAGCCCCAGUAAACGGCGGCCGUAACUAUAACGGUCCUAAGGUAGCGAAAUUCCUUGUCGGGUAAGUUCCGACCUGCACGAAUGGUGUAAUGAUCUGGACACUGUCUCAACCGUGAGCUCAGUGAAAUUGUAGUAUCGGUGAAGAUGCCGAUUACCCGCGAUGGGACGAAAAGACCCCGUGAACCUUUACUAUAGCUUAUCAUUGAAUUUGGGCACGUGAUGUGUAGGAUAGGUCGGAGGCUUUGAAGCAGGUACGCCAGUAUUUGUGGAGCCGCUGUUGAAAUACGACCCUUUAUUUGUUUGGAUUCUAACCCGUGGAUACGGGGACAUUGAUUGGUGGGUAGUUUGACUGGGGUGGUCGCCUCCAAAAGCGUAACGGAGGCUUCUAAAGGUGCCCUCCGGCCGAUUGGUAACCGGCCUUAGAGUGUAAUGGCAUAAGGGCGCUUGACUGGGAGACUAACAAGUCGAUCAGGUAGGAAACUAGAGCAUAGUGAUCCGGUGUUUCCGUAUGGAAGGGACAUCGC